UUGUGAUGAAAUUUCGAACUAAUGCUGGAAUUACCGGCAGAUUCUUAGUGGUGAUAAAUAGUUUUCUGAAC
Molecule: small nucleolar RNA, 71 nt
Organism: Gadus morhua (Atlantic cod)
Lineage: Eukaryota; Metazoa; Chordata; Actinopteri; Gadiformes; Gadidae
Source: Ensembl